AAAUACUAAAUUCUAGAAAAAAAACAGAACAAAAAUCCUUCAAUACCAGUACCAGGGUCCGAGGUAAAACUCUAAUUUCCCAACAUUAUGCAGAAAACAAAGGCAAACAUACGAAAAUUAAAAGAAUUUUCUUGUUUUUCUAAAACUUCUCAACUCACUAUAGUGAAUUCAAAACGUAAAAUUAACAGAGAAAUUGGAGACAACAAACCAGGUACAAGCAAUGGCAUUGACAUUCCGACACUAUCCCUCGGAUCCCCUGAAAAAUAAGGGCAAAAAUCGAGAAAGAUAAACCCACGUGUGGUGUGGUUAAUGUGCGCGUCAGUCUUCCAUUAAAGAAAUUAUACAAACUUCAAUGUCCGCCUAAUGAUUCUAAUUCUGUGAAGUGUUGAAUAUUUAGUGUUUUGUUGGACGAUGGUGGUUGGUGGUGGUGGUGCCGGUAAAGUAGCAACAGGGGAGGAGGACACAGAGAGAGGGAGGAGAAGAUCUGGUUUCAGAUGUUUCUCACACAUUUGAGGUGGAGUUAAGAUGGAAACACAUCACUCUUUGAAUUUAAUUACAAUAAUAAAAAUAAUUACAACUCAGCUAAUAUUAACGUCGUCUGCUACCACUUAACGGAUAGGAUACAAUGUGUGCAUAUUUUCAAAAAUUGUGACUAAAUUGAGACUGUUGCAAACUUGAGGACCAAAAUGAGAUUAGUUGACAAAACAGAGGACCAUUAGAGGUAUUAAGCCUACCGCAUUAUAAACAGAAGUUAGCGCAAUUGAUCGUCCUACCCCUAUCCCUAGGUGGUAUUGCAAAAUCAAGAAAUUACUCACCAGUUCAUGUCAUUACUGUACGUCCCCAUAUCAAUAAAGACAAACAUCAGUUACCGAAUGAGUUAAACGAUAAAGGCCUUAAGCACAGAUGAUAAC
RNAcentral lists this long non-coding RNA (911 nucleotides) under Vigna radiata. RNAcentral's name for it is "long non-coding RNA (VRAD_LNC004220)". The record is from RNAcentral. Lineage: Eukaryota; Viridiplantae; Streptophyta; Magnoliopsida; Fabales; Fabaceae.